GAUGAAGAACGCAGCGAAAUGCGAUACGUAAUGUGAAUUGCAGAAUUCAGUGAAUCAUCGAGUCUUUGAACGCACAUUGCGCCCUCUGGUAUUCCGGGGGGCAUGCCUGUCCGAGCGUCAUUGCUGCCCUCAAGCACGGCUUGUGUGUUGGGCCUCCGUCCUCCUCCCGGGGGACGGGCCCGAAAGGCAGCGGCGGCACCGCGUCCGGUCCUCGAGCGUAUGGGGCUUCGUCACCCGCUCUUGUAGGCCCGGCCGGCGCUUGCCGACACAUCAAUCUUUUUUCCAGGUUGACCUCGGAUCAGGUAGGGAUACCCGCUGAACUUAAGCAUAUCAAUAAGGGAGGA
Molecule: unclassified non-coding RNA, 344 nt
Filed under: soil metagenome
Description: partial contains 5.8S ribosomal RNA, internal transcribed spacer 2, and large subunit ribosomal RNA
Rfam family: 5.8S ribosomal RNA (bases 1-120)
Source: RNAcentral